GAUGAACGCUGGCGGCGUGCCUAAUACAUGCAAGUCGAGCGAACGGACGAGAAGCUUGCUUCUCUGAUGUUAGCGGCGGACGUGUGAGUAACACGUGGAUAACCUACCUAUAAUACUUGGAUAACUUCGGGAAACCGUAGCUAAUACCGGAUAAUAUUUUGAACCGCAUUGUUCAAAAGUGAAAGACGGUCUUGCUGUCACUUAUAGAUGGAUCCGCGCUGCAUUAGCUAGUUGGUAAGGUAACGGCUUACCAAGGCAACGAUGCAUAGCCGACCUGAGAGGGUGAUCGGCCACACUGGAACUGAGACACGGUCCAGACUCCUACGGGAGGCAGCAGUAGGGAAUCUUCCGCAAUGGGCGAAAGCCUGACGGAGCAACGCCGCGUGAGUGAUGAAGGUCUUCGGAUCGUAAAACUCUGUUAUUAGGGAAGAACAUAUGUGUAAGUAACUGUGCACAUCUUGACGGUACCUAAUAAGAAAGCCACGGCUAACUACGUG
RNAcentral lists this ribosomal RNA (497 nucleotides) under uncultured bacterium. Its description in RNAcentral is "partial 16S ribosomal RNA". It matches the Rfam family "Bacterial small subunit ribosomal RNA", at positions 28 to 507 of the family's 1533-position model. The record is from RNAcentral.